CCUACGGGCGGCAGCAGUAGGGAAUCUUUCACAAUGGGCGAAAGCCUGAUGGAGCAACGCCGCGUGCAGGAUGAAGGCCUUCGGGUUGUAAACUGCUUUUAUAAGCGAGAAAUAUGAUGGUAACUUAUGAAUAAGGAUCGGCUAACUACGUGCCAGCAGCCGCGGUCAUACGUAGGAUCCGAGCAUUAUCCGGAGUGACUGGGUGUAAAGAGUUGCGUAGGUGACAUAAUAAGUAGCUAGUGAAAUCUGGUGGCUCAACCAUUCAGACUAUUAGCUAAACUGUUAAGCUCGAGACCGUUAGGGGUAACUGGAAUUUCUAGUGUAGGAGUGAAAUCCGUAGAUAUUAGAAGGAACACCAAUAGCGUAGGCAGGUUGCUGGGACGGUUCUGACACUAAGGCACGAAAGCGUAGGGAGCAAACGGGAUUAGAUACCCCAGUAGUC
RNAcentral lists this ribosomal RNA (442 nucleotides) under uncultured bacterium. RNAcentral describes it as "partial 16S ribosomal RNA". It matches the Rfam family "Bacterial small subunit ribosomal RNA", at positions 338 to 795 of the family's 1533-position model. The record is from RNAcentral.